AACGCAUAUUGCGCCCCUCGGUAUUCCGGGGGGCAUGCCCGUUCGAGCGUCAUUACACCACUCAAGCCUGGCUUGGUAUUGGGCGAGGGAUUAACACUCCCCGCCUCUAAAUCUUCGGCUGGUCGGUCUGAAUCUCAGCGUUGUGGUUUAUUCAAAUCGCUGCGGAGGAUGGCCGGCGGUGCCGUUAAACAACCCCCAUCAAAGGUUGACCUCGGAUCGGGUAGGGAUACCCGCUGAACUUAA
This 243-nucleotide unclassified non-coding RNA is filed under the name uncultured fungus. Its description in RNAcentral is "partial contains 5.8S ribosomal RNA, internal transcribed spacer 2, and large subunit ribosomal RNA". The record is from RNAcentral. Lineage: Eukaryota; Fungi.